AACGCACAUUGCGCCCGCCAGUAUUCUGGCGGGCAUGCCUGUUCGAGCGUCAUUUCAACCAUCAAGCCCCGGGCUUGUGUUGGGGACCUGCGGCUGCCGCAGGCCCUGAAAAGCAGUGGCGGGCUCGCUGUCACACCGAGCGUAGUAGCAUACAUCUCGCUCUGGGCUUGCUGCGGGUUCCGGCCGUUAAACCACCUUUUAACCCAAGGUUGACCUCGUAUCAGGUAGGAAGACCCGCUGAACUUAA
RNAcentral lists this unclassified non-coding RNA (247 nucleotides) under uncultured Chaetomium. RNAcentral describes it as "sequence contains ITS2". The stretch from base 1 to 52 matches the Rfam family "5.8S ribosomal RNA", at positions 103 to 154 of the family's 154-position model. Lineage: Eukaryota; Fungi; Ascomycota; Sordariomycetes; Sordariales; Chaetomiaceae. The record is from RNAcentral.